CAUGCAUGCCCGCACACCCGGGAGGCGGCGGACGGCUCAGGACAACGGUUGCACCCCCCGCGGCGGUCCCUGCUAGCCGGACACCGCUGGCAACCCGGCGCCAAGACGUGCGCGCAAGUGCGGGCGCCCGCGGGCGAGCAGCGUGACGCAGCGACGGCCCGCCCGGGCUUCCGGGGCAUCACCCGGUCGGCGCG
Molecule: ribosomal RNA, 194 nt
Filed under: Giardia duodenalis
Lineage: Eukaryota; Fornicata; Diplomonadida; Hexamitidae
Description: Giardia intestinalis partial small subunit ribosomal RNA
Source: RNAcentral